RNAcentral lists this ribosomal RNA (206 nucleotides) under uncultured bacterium. Its description in RNAcentral is "partial 16S ribosomal RNA". It matches the Rfam family "Bacterial small subunit ribosomal RNA", at positions 568 to 774 of the family's 1533-position model. The record is from RNAcentral.
UGCGCAGGCGGUUUGUUAAGCGAGAUGUGAAAGCCCUGGGCUCAACCUAGGAAUAGCAUUUCGAACUGGCGAACUAGAGUCUUGUAGAGGGGGUAGAAUUCCAGGUGUAGCGGUGAAAUGCGUAGAGAUCUGGAGGAAUACCGGUGGCGAAGGCGGCCCCCUGGACAAAGACUGACGCUCAUGCACGAAAGCGUGGGGAGCAAACA